AUGGCAUAAUGUAUCCUAUUGUUUUAUAUACAAUGCAAAUGUUUUUUCAUCAUGACAUGUUUAAGUUGCAUGGCAUUAUAUUUUUUUUCUGAAGAUCAUAAUUUGAUUUACUGGUCAUUGCACCCAUUGCAAUACUUCUAGAAUAUUUUUUUAAGAAAAAUAUUUUUAUUGCUCAGGAAUAUUGUUUUAUUUUGCAUCCUUUUAAUUUUAUACAAGUAUAAAUAAACCGGGUUUUCUCUAGUGAUUCAAUAAAGUAGAGAAAUAGAAAGUUUGCCAGACAAAAUUAAUCAAAAUACAGGAAACACAUGGGAUGGAUAAACAUUUAUACAUAUUUUUUUAUAGCACUGACAGAAAAAUGACAAAUUGUAUCCAGGGGCGGAUGCAGGAAUUUUCGAAAGGGGGGGUGCUAACCCAGGGCAAAGGGGGGGGUGCAAAACAUAUGUCCCGAUAUGUCCCGAUACAAAUGCAUUGAUCGGCAAAAAUAAAGGGGGGGUGCGCACCCCCGGAACCCCCCCCCUGGAUCCGCCACUGAUUUCUGUUUC
RNAcentral lists this long non-coding RNA (542 nucleotides) under Mytilus galloprovincialis (Mediterranean mussel). The record is from RNAcentral. Lineage: Eukaryota; Metazoa; Mollusca; Bivalvia; Mytilida; Mytilidae.